RNAcentral lists this ribosomal RNA (253 nucleotides) under uncultured bacterium. Its description in RNAcentral is "partial 16S ribosomal RNA". It matches the Rfam family "Bacterial small subunit ribosomal RNA", at positions 524 to 776 of the family's 1533-position model. The record is from RNAcentral.
UACGUAGGGUGCAAGCGUUAAUCGGAAUUACUGGGCGUAAAGCGUGCGCAGGCGGUUUUGUAAGUCUGUCGUGAAAGCCCCGGGCUCAACCUGGGAAUGGCGAUGAAGACUGCAAGGCUAGAGUUUGGCAGAGGGGGGUAGAAUUCCACGUGUAGCAGUGAAAUGCGUAGAUAUGUGGAGGAACACCGAUGGCGAAGGCAGCCCCCUGGGUCAAAACUGACGCUCAUGCACGAAAGCGUGGGGAGCAAACAGG